Molecule: ribosomal RNA, 525 nt
Filed under: uncultured bacterium
Lineage: Bacteria
Description: bacterial SSU rRNA
Rfam family: Bacterial small subunit ribosomal RNA
Source: RNAcentral
UAGAGUUUGAUCAUGGCUCAGAUUGAACGCUGGCGGUAUGCUUUACACAUGCAAGUCGAACGGCAGCACAGGUGCUUGCACCUGGUGGCGAGUGGCGAACGGGUGAGUAAUAUAUCGGAACAUGUCCGGAAGUGGGGGAUAGCUCGGCGAAAGCCGGAUUAAUACCGCAUAUGCCCUGAGGGGGAAAGGGGGGGAUCGCAAGACCUCUCGCUUUCGGAGUGGCCGAUAUCGGAUUAGCUAGUAGGUGAGGUAAAGGCUCACCUAGGCGACGAUCCGUAGCUGGUCUGAGAGGACGACCAGCCACACUGGAACUGAGACACGGUCCAGACUCCUACGGGAGGCAGCAGUGGGGAAUUUUGGACAAUGGGGGAAACCCUGAUCCAGCCAUACCGCGUGAGUGAAGAAGGCCUUCGGGUUGUAAAGCUCCUUCAGCCGGAAAGAAAUCGCACUGGUUAAUACCUUGUGUGGAUGACGGUACCGGAAGAAGAAGCACCGGCUAACUACGUGCCAGCAGCCGCGGUAAUA